RNAcentral lists this unclassified non-coding RNA (233 nucleotides) under Glomeromycetes sp. RNAcentral describes it as "partial contains 5.8S ribosomal RNA and internal transcribed spacer 2". The stretch from base 1 to 71 matches the Rfam family "5.8S ribosomal RNA", at positions 84 to 154 of the family's 154-position model. The record is from RNAcentral. Lineage: Eukaryota; Fungi; Glomeromycota; Glomeromycetes.
GUGAAUCAUCAAAUUUUUGAACGCAUAUUGCACUUUCUGGUAAUCCGGAGAGUAUGCCUGUUUGAGGGUAAUUAAACAGAAUCUUUACAAAUUUGUUUGGUUAAAGGAAAUGAGUUCUCCGCGUUAAUAGCGGUAGCUUGAAAUAAUUGGCAGUUUCAUUUUAGUGGAGAUGAGUAAUAAUAUUAUUUUGGGAAAUCUUCAAUAUGUAACUAUCAAGUUUUAAUGUAUAAUAU